CCUCUAGAGAUUUGAUCCUGCCGGAGGCCAUUGCUAUUGGGAUCCGAUUUAGCCAUGCUAGUCGUACGAGUUCAGACUCGUGGCGAAUAGCUCAGUAACACGUGGCCAAACUACCCUUCGGAACACAAUACCCUCGGGAAACUGAGGCUAAUAGUGUAUACCACAUCACCACUGGAAUGAGUGAUGUGCCAAACGCUCCGGCGCCGAAGGAUGUGGCUGCGGCCGAUUAGGUAGACGGUGGGGUAACGGCCCACCGUGCCAAUAAUCGGUAUGGGUCAUGAGAGUGAGAACCCAGAGACGGAAUCUGAGACAAGAUUCCGGGCCCUACGGGGCGCAGCAGGCGCGAAACCUUUACACUGCACGACAGUGCGAUAGGGGGAUCCCAAGUGCACAGGCAUAGCGCCUGUGCUUUUCGGUACCGUAAGGUGGUACCAGAAUAAGGGCUGGGCAAGACCGGUGCCAGCCGCCGCGGUAAUACCGGCAGCCCAAGUGAUGGCCGAUCUUAUUGGGCCUAAAGCGUCCGUAGCUGGCCGCGCAAGUCCAUCGGGAAAUCCACCUGCUCAACAGGUGGGCGCCCGGUAGAAACUGCGUGGCUUGGGACCGGAAGGCGCGACGGGUACGUCCGGGGUAGGAGUGAAAUCCCGUAAUCCUGGACGGACCGCCGAUGGCGAAAGCACGUCGCGAGGACGGAUCCGACAGUGAGGGACGAAAGCCAGGGUCUCGAACCGGAUUAGAUACCCGGGUAGUCCUGGCCGUAAACAAUGUCUGCUAGGUGUGGCUCCCACUACGAGUGGGUGCUGUGCCGUAGGGAAGCCGCUAAGCAGACCGCCUGGGAAGUACGUCCGCAAGGAUGAAACUUAAAGGAAUUGGCGGGGGAGCACUACAACCGGAGGAGCCUGCGGUUUAAUUGGACUCAACGCCGGACAUCUCACCAGCAUCGACUGUAAUAAUGACGACCAGGUUGAUGACCUUGUCCGAGUUUCAGAGAGGAGGUGCAUGGCCGCCGUCAGCUCGUACCGUGAGGCGUCCUGUUAAGUCAGGCAACGAGCGAGACCCGCACCCUUACUUGCCAGCAGUACCGCGAGGUAGCUGGGGACAGUAGGAGGACCGCCGUGGCUAACACGGAGGAAGGAACGGGCAACGGUAGGUCAGUAUGCCCCGAAUGUGCUGGGCAACACGCGGGCUACAAUGGUCGAGACAAAGGGUUCCUACUCCGAAAGGAGACGGUAAUCUCAGAAACUCGAUCGUAGUUCGGAUUGUGGGCUGCAACUCGCCCACAUGAAGCUGGAUUCGGUAGUAAUCGCGUGUCACAAGCGCGCGGUGAAUACGUCCCUGCUCCUUGCACACACCGCCCGUCAAAGCACCCGAGUGAGGUCCGGAUGAGGCGUUCCACGAACGUCGAAUCUGGGCUUCGCAAGGGGGCUUAAGUCGUAACAAGGUAGCCGUAGGGGAAUCUGCGGCUGGAUAAU
Molecule: ribosomal RNA, 1469 nt
Filed under: Halorubrum sp. LYG-BQ-3
Lineage: Archaea; Methanobacteriati; Methanobacteriota; Halobacteria; Halobacteriales; Haloferacaceae
Description: bacterial SSU rRNA
Rfam family: Archaeal small subunit ribosomal RNA
Source: RNAcentral